RNAcentral lists this ribosomal RNA (253 nucleotides) under uncultured bacterium. RNAcentral describes it as "partial 16S ribosomal RNA". It matches the Rfam family "Bacterial small subunit ribosomal RNA", at positions 524 to 776 of the family's 1533-position model. The record is from RNAcentral.
UACGAAGGGGGCUAGCGUUGCUCGGAAUCACUGGGCGUAAAGGGCGCGUAGGCGGCGUUUUAAGUCGGGGGUGAAAGCCUGUGGCUCAACCACAGAAUGGCCUUCGAUACUGGGACGCUUGAGUAUGGUAGAGGUUGGUGGAACUGCGAGUGUAGAGGUGAAAUUCGUAGAUAUUCGCAAGAACACCGGUGGCGAAGGCGGGUCUCUGGGCCGAUACUGACGCUGAGGAGCGAAAGCGUGGGGAGCAAACAGG